RNAcentral lists this ribosomal RNA (119 nucleotides) under Pteropus alecto (black flying fox). Lineage: Eukaryota; Metazoa; Chordata; Mammalia; Chiroptera; Pteropodidae. The record is from RNAcentral.
GUCUACGGCCAUGCUACCCUGAACACACCCAAUCCCAUCUGAUCUCGGAAGCUAAGCAGGGUCGGGCCUGGUUAGUACUUGGAUGAGAGACCACUUAGGAAGACCAGGUGCUGUAGGCA